UACGUAGGUGGCAAGCGUUGUUCGGAAUUAUUGGGCGUAAAGCGUGCGCAGGCGGUGAUGUAAGACAGAUGUGAAAUCCCCGGGCUCAACCUGGGAACUGCAUUUGUGACUGCAUCGCUGGAGUACGGCAGAGGGGGAUGGAAUUCCACGUGUAGCAGUGAAAUGCGUAGAGAUGUGGAGGAAUACCGAUGGCGAAGGCAGCCCCCUGGGAUAACACUGACGCUCAUGCACGAAAGCGUGGGGAGCAAACAGG
RNAcentral lists this ribosomal RNA (253 nucleotides) under uncultured bacterium. RNAcentral's name for it is "partial 16S ribosomal RNA". It matches the Rfam family "Bacterial small subunit ribosomal RNA", at positions 524 to 776 of the family's 1533-position model. The record is from RNAcentral.